UAUCUCCUGAUCUAUAUUGAAUACUGUGGCACAGGGUUCCGUCAUAACUUGGAUCUUAUGACAACAGUGGCUGUCCUGAAUCUACUGCAGUUAAAGUGACAUCAUAUUGAAAUACUUUCUCCCUGUCCAGUGGCGAGCUAGUGAUUAAUGAGUAUAUGUUAUCCUGAGUGGAUGCCAUCAGUUUAAAAGAAUCCUCAGAGACUGCUCUUGAGAAGGAUGUCACCUCAAUCUCAGAAUCUAAAUCAGUAACGCUUAUGAUUGCAACCGUAGUUCCAGGUCUAGAAUCCUCUUGGAUAGCUCUUGAGAAGGACGUUACCUCAAUGUCAGUGUUCUGACGUCGACCCCUAAAUCCGUUGCGAUGUUGCCCACGAUUGUUCCAUCCUCCUGCUCCUCUGAAAUGGAAUAUCGUA
Molecule: long non-coding RNA, 410 nt
Organism: Alosa sapidissima (American shad)
Lineage: Eukaryota; Metazoa; Chordata; Actinopteri; Clupeiformes; Clupeidae
Exons: 5
Source: RefSeq, a predicted model, not a curated record